This 587-nucleotide ribosomal RNA is filed under the name uncultured bacterium. RNAcentral describes it as "bacterial SSU rRNA". It matches the Rfam family "Bacterial small subunit ribosomal RNA", at positions 338 to 943 of the family's 1533-position model. The record is from RNAcentral.
CCUACGGGAGGCAGCAGUGGGGAAUAUUGGACAAUGGGCGAAAGCCUGAUCCAGCAAUGCCGCGUGAGUGAUGAAGGCCUUCGGGUCGUAAAGCUCUUUUACCAGGGAUGAUAAUGACAGUACCUGGAGAAUAAGCUCCGGCUAACUCCGUGCCAGCAGCCGCGGUAAUACGGAGGGAGCUAGCGUUGUUCGGAAUUACUGGGCGUAAAGAGUACGUAGGCGGUUAUUCAAGUCAGAGGUGAAAGCCCGGGGCUCCACCCCGGAACUGCCUUUGAAACUAGAUAACUAGAGUCUUGGAGAGGUUAGUGGAAUUCCGAGUGUAGAGGUGAAAUUCGUAGAUAUUCGGAAGAACACCAGUGGCGAAGGCGACUAACUGGACAAGUACUGACGCUGAGGUACGAAAGCGUGGGGAGCAAACAGGAUUAGAUACCCUGGUAGUCCACGCCGUAAACGAUGAUAACUAGUUGUUCGGUCACUUGGUGACUGAGUGACGCAGCUAACGCAUUAAGUUAUCCGCCUGGGGAGUACGGUCGCAAGNUUAAAACUCAAAGGAAUUGACGGCUGAGANGCGAGCGACACGAGGAGAG